Long non-coding RNA from Homalodisca vitripennis (glassy-winged sharpshooter), 284 nucleotides. RefSeq lists it as uncharacterized. Lineage: Eukaryota; Metazoa; Arthropoda; Insecta; Hemiptera; Cicadellidae. The transcript is spliced from 2 exons. The record is from RefSeq and is a predicted model, not a curated record.
UACAUGCUCCACUGUUUUCGUGGCAAUGGCAUGUUUACUGGAUUAGUUUGUAGUGAUGGUGAUUACUUUGAUCUGGCUAGUAGCACGUUUUGGUAAUACUUUGCUUUCAUGUAAUAGUGUCGAUGCGCUUGGAGUUAUGUUUUUAGAUAUGGUCUCAACAGCAUACGUGUCUGAUUUAAAACUUCAUCAAACAGAUGAAAAAUUUUAUAUAGCAGAGUUUAUCCACAACCUAAAACAAUGGCAUGAUUGUCUUUUCAUAGUUGGGAAACAUGAAGAGGAAAUUG